RNAcentral lists this ribosomal RNA (174 nucleotides) under Larsia sp. RAV1.1. RNAcentral's name for it is "partial large subunit ribosomal RNA". It matches the Rfam family "Eukaryotic large subunit ribosomal RNA", at positions 727 to 900 of the family's 3401-position model. The record is from RNAcentral. Lineage: Eukaryota; Metazoa; Arthropoda; Insecta; Diptera; Chironomidae.
AACGGGGGGCACCUCCAUCCCGGGGUAUUUACAUCACAUAUAUGGGCAACUAUAUAUAGUAAAUAUACCAUGAGCAUACUGGACAUGACCCGAAAGAUGGUGAACUAUGCCUGAUCAGGUUGAAGUCAGGGGAAACCCUGAUGGAGGACCGAAGCAAUUCUGACGUGCAAAUCG